Molecule: ribosomal RNA, 650 nt
Filed under: uncultured bacterium
Lineage: Bacteria
Description: bacterial SSU rRNA
Rfam family: Bacterial small subunit ribosomal RNA
Source: RNAcentral
UGCAAGUCGAACGGUAACAGGGUUAGCUUGCUAAUCGCUGACGAGUGGCGGACGGGUGAGUAAUGCUUGGGAACUUGCCUUUGCGAGGGGGAUAACAGUUGGAAACGACUGCUAAUACCGCAUAAUGUCUACGGACCAAACGGGGCUUAGGCUCCGGCGCAAAGAGAGGCCCAAGUGAGAUUAGCUAGUUGGUAAGGUAAAGGCUUACCAAGGCAACGAUCUCUAGCUGUUCUGAGAGGAAGAUCAGCCACACUGGAACUGAGACACGGUCCAGACUCCUACGGGAGGCAGCAGUGGGGAAUAUUGCACAAUGGGGGAAACCCAGAUGCAGCCAUGCCGCGUGUGUGAAGAAGGCCUUCGGGUUGUAAAGCACUUUCAGUUGUGAGGAAAAGUUAGUAGUUAAUACCUGCUAGCCGUGACGUUAACAACAGAAGAAGCACCGGCUAACUCCGUGCCAGCAGCCGCGGUAAUACGGAGGGUGCGAGCGUUAAUCGGAAUUACUGGGCGUAAAGCGCACGCAGGCGGUUUGUUAAGCUAGAUGUGAAAGCCCCGGGCUCAACCUGGGAUGGUCAUUUAGAACUGGCAGACUAGAGUCUUGGAGAGGGGAGUGGAAUUCCAGGUGUAGCGGUGAAAUGCGUAGAUAUCUGGAG